CAGUAGCCGCGGUAAUACGUAGGUGGCAAGCGUUGUCCGGAAUUAUUGGGCGUAAAGGGCUCGCAGGCGGUUUCUUAAGUCUGAUGUGAAAGCCCCCGGCUCAACCGGGGAGGGUCAUUGGAAACUGGGAAACUUGAGUGCAGAAGAGGAGAGUGGAAUUCCACGUGUAGCGGUGAAAUGCGUAGAGAUGUGGAGGAACAUCAGUGGCGAAGGCGACUCUCUGGUCUGUAACUGACGCUGAGGAGCGAAAGCGUGGGGAGCGAACAGGAUUAGAUACCCCAGUAGUCCCUGUCUCUUAUAC
RNAcentral lists this ribosomal RNA (301 nucleotides) under uncultured bacterium. RNAcentral describes it as "partial 16S ribosomal RNA". It matches the Rfam family "Bacterial small subunit ribosomal RNA", at positions 509 to 807 of the family's 1533-position model. The record is from RNAcentral.